RNAcentral lists this unclassified non-coding RNA (378 nucleotides) under uncultured Actinomycetes bacterium. RNAcentral describes it as "uncultured actinobacterium contains 16S-23S intergenic spacer region". The record is from RNAcentral. Lineage: Bacteria; Bacillati; Actinomycetota; Actinomycetes.
UCCGAGUUGACCCCGGCAGUCUCCUGAGAGUGCCCGGCAUUACCCGGUAGCAACACAGGACAAGGGUUGCGCUCGUUGCGGGACUUAACCCAACAUCUCACGACACGAGCUGACGACAGCCAUGCACCACCUGUGAUGGUGUCCCGAAGGAAAGGUGUGUUUCCACACCGGUCACCAACAUGUCAAACCCAGGUAAGGUUCUUCGCGUUGCGUCGAAUUGAACCACAUGCUCCGCUGCUUGUGCGGGUCCCCGUCAAUUCCUUUGAGUUUUAGCCUUGCGGCCGUACUCCCCAGGCGGGUCACUUAAUGCGUUAGCUCCGGCACGGAGGGAGUCGACACCCCCCACACCUAGUGACCAUCGUUUACGGCGUGGACUAC